RNAcentral lists this ribosomal RNA (406 nucleotides) under uncultured bacterium. RNAcentral describes it as "partial 16S ribosomal RNA". It matches the Rfam family "Bacterial small subunit ribosomal RNA", at positions 29 to 526 of the family's 1533-position model. The record is from RNAcentral.
AUUGAACGCUGGCGGCAGGCCUAACACAUGCAAGUCGAGCGAGCGGCGGACGGGUGAGUAAUGUCUGGGAAACUGCCUGAUGGAGGGGGAUAACUACUGGAAACGGUAGCUAAUACCGCAUACCAUCAGAUGUGCCCAGAUGGGAUUAGCUAGUAGGUGGGGGAACGGCUCACCUAGGCGACGAUCCCUAGCUGGUCUGGGAGGAUGACCAGCCACAAUGGAAGUGAGGCACGGGCCCGACUUCGACGGGAGGCAGCAGUGGGGAAUAGUGGACAAUGGGGGCAAGCCCGAUGCAGCCAUGCCGCGUGGGGGAAGAAGGCCUUCGGGUUGGAAAGCACUUUUAGCGGGGAGGCGUUACCCGCAGAAGAAGCACCGGCUAACUCCGUGCCAGCAGCCGCGGUAAUAC